CGUGUCGGGCAGCUGUGCCGCCUGGGGCCCCACAGCCUCUGUGUUGCCAGGGGUGGCCGGAGUGCUCCUGAUGGGACAGAAGGAGGAGCUCCAGGUCCUCAGUGAGGCCCUUCAAGCCCUGAGCGAAUAUGAGUGCCCCUCCUUUAUAAAGCAAUUUGUCCAGCUGACAUUCGACGCAAGAUCUGCCGAACUGCGCCUGCAGGAUGGGAAGAACCAGUGUCCUUUGGCCACCCCCACUUCCCACUGAAGAUGGGACUAACUGCAGAGCAGAGGGGACCAGCUGAAGCUGCAGGCCCAGCAGCUCUUGCUGGUCACAGCCGAGCCUGUGGCAACCUUCAGGAGCUCCUCCCUUCCUGUUGGUAGUUCCCUCCCUCUAGCCCCCAAGCCCUGCCCAUCCCCUUUUUUCCCUCCCAGUUCACCCCUUCACUUUGCCUUCCCUUAAUAAACACUUUGGCUUUUUCACAUGACUCGUGGCUCCCUCUGUGGAGCUGAAGCAGCACAAAUCCUGAGCCCAGGGACAUGCAGGGCCCUGUUGCCAUCCUCUUCCACGCCGUCGUCUGUGCACGGGCAGAGAGGAACAAGGGCAGCUCAAGCUGCAGAGGUCCCUGUCCUGCUGCUCCAGUUGCACAGCACCAUGGAGUUGAAGGUCAUGCUGAGCACACUGAAGGGAACAAGGACCCUGGGUUUUAGAAGAGCCAGCUUGAGUAUGCUCUUCCAUGGCAAACAUCCACCGAGGGCAAAGGAGCUUGCGGUGCUUUUCACUACACCCGUCCUGUACUGAAGUGGCUGUUGUGAAAAAUACAGCCAGCCCCAUGAAACUUACCAGUGUGAAGAAACUGCUGCACAGCAACAGCUGAACUUCAGUGUGUCUGAGCCAGUGCUGCAGGCUCAAAUGCUGCCAGCAUUAUCUCUGCACCCUGGGACACUUCCCGGUUCCUGUGCCUUGACACUGCUUUCCCAUGGGGCUGGGGAAGGAGUUUGGCUCUAUGAACUGCCUGGUGCUGUGAAACAGGUUCAUUUUUGUCA
Long non-coding RNA from Passer domesticus (house sparrow), 1026 nucleotides. RefSeq lists it as uncharacterized. The record is from RefSeq and is a predicted model, not a curated record. NCBI's taxonomy places the organism in Eukaryota, Metazoa, Chordata, Aves, Passeriformes, Passeridae. The transcript has 2 exons.